This 211-nucleotide long non-coding RNA is filed under the name Elaeis guineensis (African oil palm). RNAcentral's name for it is "long non-coding RNA (EGUI_LNC005261)". Lineage: Eukaryota; Viridiplantae; Streptophyta; Magnoliopsida; Arecales; Arecaceae. The record is from RNAcentral.
AUUUCUAAUAAAAAAUGGAGUUGGAAAAAUAUGUGAAGAUCAACAACUUGCUCGACAUUGCUUCAUGAUCUCUACAAAGAAUAAUCAAUCUGAAGACUCUUUGUCUACUGAUAAAUUGGACCAAAGAGAAAAUGAAGAAAUAGGAGAAUCAGCCGAGCAACUGAUUUCUAUCCCAUUGAGAGAAGAUAAUCCUGAGAAGAUAGUUUAAAUU